This 37873-nucleotide long non-coding RNA is filed under the name Aquilegia coerulea. RNAcentral's name for it is "long non-coding RNA (ACOE_LNC000370)". The record is from RNAcentral. Lineage: Eukaryota; Viridiplantae; Streptophyta; Magnoliopsida; Ranunculales; Ranunculaceae.
GAGAAGAAAUACCAGUUGUUAUAAUUCGUCCUAGCAUUAUUGAAAGUACCUAUAAGGAACCCAUCCCUGGAUGGAUCGAAGGGCUCAGGUUUCGUAUUUAAUUUCUUAAAUAUGUUCUGACCAUUUGUUUUUAUUUUGUUACAUAUUAUUUGGCUAAUUUUGUUAUGUUAAUACACAAUACCUAGGAUGAUGGACCCACUACUUAUAUACUAUGGAAAAGGAGAACUGACUGCAUUCCCUGUAGAUGCAAAGGGUGUCAUCGACGCGGUUAGUAGCAAUCAUAAAUAGAGUCUAUUUGCAGUUUUAUUUCAUAUACAUUGAAUAAACCUAAAUUUCUUAGGUAGAUGUUAUCUUUUAAGAUAAAUACCAUGUCUCUCUUUACUAAUCAGUGUUUUUAUAACUCAUGAAUUACUGUAGGUUCCAGCAGAUAUGGUGGUAAAUGCAAUGUUAGCAGCAAUGGCAAAACAUGGAGCAGUUGGAAAACCUGGACUGCGCGUAUACCACAUUGCUUCAUCUGUUGUAAAUCCACUAGUCUACCAAGACUUGUGUGAUUAUUUUUUCGACUACUUCAAUUCUUCCCCUUACAUGGACUUGCAAAGGAGACCAAUCAAAAUUCAACCAGCUAAGGUUUUCAACUCCAUGGAUGAUUUCCACACUCACAUUCAAACUGAAGCAGUUCAAAGGAGUGCAAAUUCUCCACAAGAAAUACGUUUCUCAAAGAGAGUCCAAAGAUCAUUAGAUCUUGCCAAACAUUUGGCCAAACUAUAUGAGCCAUAUACAUUUUAUGAAGGAAGGUACGUAAGAUGCUGUUAUGUUUAAUGAAACGUCCAACACAUUUGUUAUAAAUGAUUACUAACUCUUAACUAUUGGGGAUACCAUUAUUUUUACAGGUUCGACAACACGAAUGUGCAAAUGUUAAUAAAGGAGCUAUCUGAAGAGGAGAAGAGACACUUUGAUUUCGAUGUUGGAAGCGUAGAUUGGAAGGAUUAUAUAUGUAACAUUCAUAUUCCUGGUGUAUUGAGGCAUGUACAAAAAGGAAGAGGUUUGUAGAUGUAAUUUGUGUGGUGUGGUUCAGUAGUGGUUGUAAGUCUACAUUGAUGAAACAUGUACAGUACUAUACGCGUGUCAGAUUUAUUGUUGAGUUGGGUUCGUUCUUUGUUUUGGUUGUACGUUAAUGUUUUUAACUUUGUUUGAUUAACCGUGCCCAGCUUACAGUUAAGGGCUGUCUUUCGCCUGUCCUAUAAACAAGUAGUAUACAUGGCUUUAGCUCGGGAUCGAUCUUAAAUUGGCCAGGUUCCCUCCCCGGUAAAGCUACCCAAAAAUAUUCUUACGGGCGUCGAUUCGAGUUGAGUCGACAGCGCUGAGGAGACUGUGAUGUUGCUAUGUUGGUUGGCAACCGUCCAUCACGGAAGCUUUGUCUCAAUCUUGUCUUUUUUUUAAUUUUUUUCCAAAAAUGUAUAUGCAUCCCUUCAUAUUUUACUUUUGAUGGAUACAUGCAUUUUUGCCAUUUUGGUAUUAAAUGGCUGGGAUGCUCAAUGGUCCUACAAAUUUGAGAGUUUGGUAUGAACAAGCUUAGCCGGAAAGGUGGUUUUCAGGUUCAACAAUACCAAUGUGCAGAUGAUGAUGAAAGAAUCAUCUCAAGAGGAGCGAAGGAGCUUUGGUUUCGAUGUUGGAAGUUAAAACUAGCAUAGAUUGGAAGGAUUAUAUAUGCAACAUUCAUAUUCAUGGUCUACUGUAGCUGAAAUUUGUGUGGUUCAGUGUGGUUGUAUAAGAACAUAUGUACUUACCUAAACUUAAUAAAAUGUUGAUAUUGGCCUUAUCCCCAUUGGUGAUAAUAAUUUUAAAGAAUGCUUGUCAGAUUUUCGAUUUUGGAAGGAUUUUAUGAGCUGGGGUGAUGUUCUUCAAUUCUUAUUGAACCCACCCUUAUGAACAUGACAACCAUUCCGAAUGAUUUCGGAUUUGAUCUGGCAUUGAAUCAGAAGCUGUUCAAAUGUGUGCAAAAGCCUCACAAGGGAUGUUUUUUGUCGAGGAGACAUUGAAUGAUCAGUAGACACCUCUCUCACAAAGUGGAGAGGUUGUGGGUUCGAAACAUGUCAAUAGCUGACUGAUUGUUGAUAUAAGUUUCCACAUGUAAUUUAAAGGGGUAGGUGAUAGAAUACAAGAGUGAUGAAAGAAAGAAGAUGAAAAAUAAUUAUAUUUCUCUUAUUAAAACCUCUAUUACAAAGACCUUUAUAUACACAGGUCUGUUGAUAUAACAAACUCUAACAGAUUAUCUAACUAAUUACAGUUAUUAUUCCUAACUAAUUACAGUUGUUAACUGUUGCUGUGUUGUCAUUCUUUGCUGAUGUGUCACUCUUUGCUGAUGUGUCAAUACCUCCCCUCAAACUGAUGGCAGUACUGACAGAAAGUUUGGACCUCAGAAAAUUAAAUCUUGAAGUAGAUAGACCUUUGGUGAAUAUGUCAGCUAGCUGAUCAGUAGUACACAAGUAGUAGAUAUCCAGUAAAUUUUGAGUAACAAGUUCUCUGACAUAGUGGUAAUCGACCUCAACAUGUUUUGUCCGAGCAUGGAACACAGGAUUGGAUGCAAGAGAAAUUGCACUGAUGUUAUCACAGUAUAAAGCAGGCCUUCCUUUGAAAGUGAUAUGAAGAUCUUUUAAGAGAUGACAUAACCAAGUAAAUUCUGCAGCACACUGAGCAAGAGCUCUAUAUUCAGACUCAGUUGAACUUUUGGCAACUGUAGCUUGCUUCUUGGAGCACCAAGAGAUGAGAUUAGGACCAAAGUAUACACAGUAACCAGUGAUGGAUCUUCUGUCCAUAGGACAGCUAGCCCAAUCAGCAUCAGAAAAGCAGGUAAUAGUAGAAGGUCCUUUGUGAAGAGACAGUCCAUAGGUAAUAGUACCCUUAAGAUAUCUCAAAAUCCUCUUUACAACAGUAAGAUGUGGGAUCCUGGGUCUAUGCAUAAACUGGCAAACUUGAUUGACUGAGAAAGAUAUUUCAGGUCUGGUCCAGGUAAGAUACUGUAGAGAUCCUACAAGAGAUCUUUAACUCGUAAGUAACUCACCGGUUUCAUUAUCUAACCUGGUGGUAGUAGCACAGGGAGAGGAACAGGAUUUUGUUAAUAACAUGGAUGCCUUUUCUAACAAAUCAUGAAUAUAUUUAGACUGAGAAAGAGUGAUGGUAGUGGGAGUUCGUUGUACUUCCAAGCCAAAAAAAUAAUGAAGAGGACCUAAAUCUUUCAUGGAAAUUUUUUGACUAAGAUUUUGAAUGAGUGUUUGACAAGUAGACAUGGAGGAACCUGUGAUGAUAAUAUCAUCUACAUAUACCAAAAUAUAAGUCAGAGAAGAACCUGAUUGUUGAAUGAACAAAGAGUGGUCGACAUGAGACGUAUGAAAGCCUAACUGUAACAAAGCUCUAUGCAACUCUGUAUACCAGACCCUGGGAGCUUGGCUUGAUAAACGAUUCCAUAUUUCAUGAUUACUCUGCUUAAUUGGUUGUCAGGCUAUGUAACCUUGUUAUUACUCUGCUUAAUUUAUUUUCACUUUGGUUGAUAACAUAUUUCCAUUAAUUAGAAGAAGUGCAGAAGGAGAAGCUUAGAAAUGGGGAGAGAGAGAAAGAGAUACAAGUAGAAAGAAAUACAGGAAACAGACGCAUAAUCGGAUCCUAACUGGGUUAAACUCAACCUUGUACAAUAUAUCACAUUAGCGUUUAAAACUCACGUGACUCUUUUUAUUUUUAGUAUAUCCGCACAGGUCCGCAUUAAACAGGUCCGUAUGAGAGCCUAUAUAUAUAUUACAGUUAGUUACAUGUAUUUAUCCACCUUUAACAAAUUCUAAUUUAAAAUUGUAGAAUCUAAUGCAUUCUGUUAUUAGUUCAAUUCAAAAUUUAAUUCAAAAAAUUAACCACCAAUAUUGAUCAUCUAACUAAUGUUAAAUGCCUGAAUAAAAAAUUUAGGUACACUAUUGAACUAAUUAAAUUCGGUGACGGUAACAUUAACCAAAAUAUUGCUAAGUAUAUACAGCAGUAUAAACCUUGACCAAUUUAAUUAGUUUGUUUUUGAAUCUAAAUUAUAAUCAGCAAAGGGUGCAUAAUUUGACUAGGACUAAAAUUUAGUAUGACUAGAUUAAAUUAGUAUGACUAGGAUUAAUAUUUAGUGUGACUAGGAUUAAAUUAGUAUGACUAAGAUUAAUAUUUAGUGUGACUAGGAUUAAAACCCCAUUCUUUCUUCCCCGUCCCCAUCUUUCUCUUCCCUUUCUCUUCCCCAACUUCAGUCUUUCUCAAACUUCUUCCCCGUCCAGCCGCCCCCAUCUCAUUCUCUUCUCUUCUCUUCUCAAAUUUUUAAAAUUUAUCAAAUUUUUAAAAUUUAUACCAAUUGCAUAAUUUUGAUUACUGCUUUUUUCACUAAACCUUUUUUCUUCCCCUACCAAACCUUUCUCUUCUUCACUAAACCUUAAUAAAACAUCAUCAUAUCAGUCAUCAAUCAACUUUCUUCAAAAGGUAUGCAUUUCUCCUUCAAUCAAACCUCUCUUUCUACUUUUUUAUCAAUUUCUAUUUUUCUAUCAUAGAAGAUAAUCCCUGUACUAACAUAUAAUUGAAACUAUUUUAUUUAUCCAAAUUUAUAUUUUUAUUGUAGUAUACAAUUAAAUUAAUUAUGCCUACCAUGGCUGCGCCAUUAUAAGCCUAAUCAUCAUCUUCAAUCCUAUUUAUCAUCGCCAAGGUAAGUCCCCUAUCAUAAACCUCUUUUUCUCCUUCAAUCAAACUCCAUCUUUGCUCUUUAAUCAAACUCUGAACGACCUCUCUUUAUUAUAUAAUCAAACCAACUUUUAAACCAAUUUCUAAAUUUCUGACAUAAUAAUCAGUUUAGCAAUAAUAAGGGCUUAGCAAAAGAUUAGCCAUUAAACCUUAAACAAUAACGAUCGAUUUUCAGCAUAGUAAAUUUUAAUUUAUCUUAAACAAUAACGAUCGAUUUUUAAUAUAACUAUCUUACCCCAUCUCUUAAAAUCUUGCAAAUAUAUAUCGUUUUUUACUUGCAAAUAUAUAUCUUAGAAAUUAUCUAAAUUGGUCAAAGCCUCAAAGGUAUCAAGAAUGAUGAUGGUAUUCACCUGUUCAGUUUUAUUCAGUUUUGUUCAGUUUUGUAAAAUUAGUCUGUGAGUUUGUUGGCCUAAUCAAAAUUUCCCAUGCCUUGGUUUCGUAAAUAUGACUUUGUGCCACAGCCUGCAUCAAUACAAUGCAAUACCCUCGCAAUUGGUUAGCCCAACAAUGUAGUGAUUUUUAUUUGGUUGAAUUAAUCUACAGAUUCAAAUUGGAUCAGCAAUUUGCUUUAUGAUAAAUACAUUAACAUGUUAUAACUUCUAUAGUAAAUGUGUAUAAUCAACUUAUAUAGUAGCAGUCGAUAACAUAGUAGCAUACCAGUUGCAGUAGUCAGUGUUAGCUACCCAUCCAGGUGGGAAUAUGGUUUUAUUAAUUUAAAAAAGAACCUUAUUGUCAUUUGGAUGGCAACGAUGAUUAGUAGCAGAGUGAGUAUAGGGACUAAUAAGACAAAAAAAAUAUGAAUGAGAAUAGAAUGAAAGCCACCAGUGCAAAUUGGUUUAUGUAGAGCAGAGGUUUCAACAUAUGGAUAUGUAAGCUUAUAUCAAAUAAAUUUGAAUUUUGCUUAUUGUAAGCAACAUUAAUGUAUCGUGAAUGUGUUCCACUUCAUUCUUGCAUUGCUUUCAUAUGCCAGUCUUCAUUUAUCAUUUUUUGCAGACAACUAUGUGUGAGAAUUAUACAGGAAUUGACUUAUCUUAAGUAUUUUCAUGUGUUUGUCAUGUUUACAGGUAAGAACCUAUUCUACUAUCCUUACUGAAGCAUUAAAUUGUGAUUGCUGCAAGGAAAUAGAUGCCACAAAUGAAAGGACUUAGAGCUUGGUUUGGGAUUAUAUAUGUUUAUGUUGUCGUUACUAAUGAAGAGCUUUAAAAAGGAAUGAUUUGCAGAUCCAUAAGGUAAAUCUACUUUAUAUUCCACUCUUUUGGACUUAUCAAAUAGAUAUAUGCGUUUGAACAUAUCAUCUAAUUUAUAAGGACUUUACAUGAAAUUUGUAAAUAGAAAAGAAUGUGACAAGUUUAGUUGUAAAAGAAGAAGAAGUUCAGGUUUUGGAAAACAACUAAUUACAGUUUGGGUUUCUAGGACCAAAUAGUAGAUAAGACAAACAGAGUACAACAGUGAAUAAAAGAAAGGGUUUACGAUCAUUUUAGACAAAUUUGAGUUUUACAUAUGUUUGGCUGAAAAUUUGCUAUACAGGAAGAAAUUUGUUUACCAAAUUAAUUCUGAGUGUUGGAAAACAAAUAUGGACUAUUUAUUAGGCUGAAAAUGUUCAAGUCACAGUCAAAUGAAUCAACAAAAUAAACUUUUUAUUUGCAGGAAACAUUUCUGGUUUUCACGGUCAUAUAAUGAUAUAAACGUACAUGCUCUAUUAUUUGUUCUGAGCUAAGUCGUUAAAUUGUAGAAAUAUGAGGCUAUUUUACUCUUAGUCAUUAAUUGAUUAAUAUGAAUCUAAUGCCAAGGAGCCCUCAAUAACAUUGGCUAGGAGUUUGAAGAAAAAUAUUGUCCAUUAAUGCUGAAUGGUAACACAUGCUGAAUGUGCUCCUUUGUGAAGCAACACACCUUGGUUUCACAAUGUUCUUUUACUUUGGAUAGUCAAGAAGCCAUUCAACAAGAUCAGAUAGUCAUUAAACAUGAAAAAUUGAGUGCAAAAUGGUAAGAUAGUCACUAAACAUGCAAAAGCUCUCUGUAAUGUUACUGGUUAUUGGUGUAGGUGCCCAUUUCUGCUCUGACUAUCGUUUACAGUAAAAUAGUUGGACAUACACUAUAUUUAUUAUCCCAGAAAUUUAAAGUUAAAAUUGUGACUGUAGAUAAAAGAUGAUAGUAAAUCAUGGUGGUGAUAAUAAAAGGUUGUUUAAUUAAAAUGGCUACGUCUAGGUGAAACAUCCAUGUCAAAAUGUGGAUUAUAUACUGAUUAAUCAAAAUGGAUUUUCUAUUGCUUUGCUCUAACUUUUUUUUAUAUUGAUUAGCAUAUUAUUGGUAUUUUAGUAUUUUAUUACAUCACUUAUUGGAUUUGUGUAAGGUUGUUUGACAAAAUUAUUCGUAAGAUAGACCCAUUUGUGAGUGUGAUCUUGGGGGCUAGAAUGCUAGAAUAAACUUCUCAGCUAAUUAAUCAUCUCUGCACACACACCCCGCCACAGAAUUUCCAGAAAAAUUAAUUAGUUUAUCACCUAGAUGUAGCAUUAAUCAGUAUAGCAUCAUGGAUCACCUACAUGUCACAUAGCAAACAUGGAACCCUUACCCUCUACCAACGCAUCCUGGCUAUGGCCAACCUACACAGCCUGUGUAGAAUUUUAUAGAAGACUUUGUAAUUUUUUUCAAAAUUUUUACAUUUUUUUAAUUAAUUUCAUUUUGCAGGUCCGUAGACUUUUCUAUUUGAUCCUUACAGAUUGUAAUCCUUCAAGACCAGAGAUUUUAUGGCAGAAAAAUGCUUUGAAGAUUUGUGAUGAUUUGCCGCACAAACUAAUAACUACCUUUGGUAUUUCAAAUCCGUCUGACGAUGACGUUUGUGACUACGGAUUGUUUUUGUUGAAUGAAUACCUGUUAGAAAGUGGUAAAACAUUAUCUGAUUUUCCAGAUAUGCCUUUACCGUGUAAAGCAUGGAAUGCUUUAGUUACAAACCGUCUGAUUACAGAGCAUCAAAACUUAGUGUACCUAGGAUUAUAUGAGGAAGCUCAGACUAAAGUGGGAAGUUUCAAUAAUGAACAACUCCAUGCGUAUACAGCCAUUACAAAUUCAGUUCGUAAUGAUAGUGGACAAGUUUUUUUCUUGAGUGGUCCAGCUGGUACAGGAAAAACAUUUGUCUAUAAUAUUAUUCUCUUAACAUGGCACCAAAGCCGAAGUUUCGGAAGCGNNNNNNNNNNNNNNNNNNNNNNNNNNNNNNNNNNNNNNNNNNNNNNNNNNNNNNNNNNNNNNNNNNNNNNNNNNNNNNNNNNNNNNNNNNNNNNNNNNNNGAAGUUCUGGACGAUUCUGUUUGUGCAGUCACCAAACAAAGCAUCUAUGCAGAAUUAUUCAGAAGAGCGAAACUAAUUGUAUGGGAUGAAGUACCAAUGCAACAUCUGUUUUGCAUAGAGGCAAUUGAUCGUACACUACGGGAUAUUCGUGGAAAUUGUAAACCAUUUGGAGGAAUUACUGUUGUUCUUGGUGGUGACUUCAAACAAACCCUCCCUGUUAUUGCUAAAGGCACUAGGCAGGAUAUAGUUGGUGCAUCACUAACAAGAUCGCAUUUAUGGAAAAAUGUUCAAGUUUUAACUCUGGUUAAAAACAUGCGGCUGAACAGUAAUGAUGUUGAAAAUGUCAAGUUUGCAGAUUAUUUAAUUCAGGUAAUUUAAUUAUUCCCUCAAUAUUUUGAACUUUCAUACCGCGUGAAAUAUAUUUUGUAAUUACUUUGAAAUUCUACUUUAAAGAUAGGAACCGAUCCCACAGAAACUGUCGAAUUGCCUUCUGAGAUCAAUAGGUGUAAGAAUUCGUUGGAUCUCCUGUUCAAAGUUUACCCAAAUUUGAACGUUAAGGGAACAGCUACCGAUACUUACUUGCAAGAACGAUCCAUUCUCUCUGCUCGCAAUGAUGAUGUUGCUACUCUUAAUCAAUUAGCAAUAAAUCACUUUCCAGGAGAACUUCAUGAGUAUCUAGCUGCUGAUAAAGCCAUUGAAGAAAAUGAACCUAUCGAAAAUAGAGGAAAUAGUAUAUCAAGCGAGAAUAUGCAAGCACUUGAUCCAGCGAGUCUACCACCAUUCAAAUUACAACUUAAAGUUGGUUGCCAAUAAUUUUUCUCUGCAACCUUCAGCCAAGAGAUGGUUUAUGCAAUGGAACGCGUCUAAUGGUUGUCCAAUUUGCUACAAGAGUGUUCAAAGUUUACCCAAACUUCAAAUGGAAUUAUAAACACAAAAUGAGCCGUUCUUCCUCCAGUUAAUAAUAAUGAUACAAUUCCUGAUGAAGCAACCAUGAUUACGAUAUGACCUUCAUUUCUCAAUGUAUCCGCAAUAGUAUUAUAGACAAAUGUUUUUCCUGUACCAGCUGGACCACUCUAGAAAAAAACUUGUCCACUAUCAUUACGAACUGAAUUUGUAAUGGUUGUAUACGCAUGGAGUUGUUCAUUAUUGAAACUUCUCACUACAGUCUGAGCUUCCUCAUAUAAUCCUGGGUACACUAAGUUUUGAUGCUCUGUAAUCAGACGGUUUGUAACUAAAGCAUUCCAUGCUUUACACGGUAAAGGCAUAUCUGGAAAAUCAGAUAAUGUUUUACCACUUUCUAACAGGUAUUCAUUCAACAAAAACAAUCCGUAGUCACAAACGUCAUCGUCAGACGGAUUUGAAAUACCAAAGGUAGUUAUUAGUUUGUGCGGCAAAUCAUCACAAAUCUUCAAAGCAUUUUUCUGCCAUAAAAUCUCUGGUCUUGAAGGAUUACAAUCUGUAAGGAUCAAAUAGAAAAGUCUACGGACCUGCAAAAUGAAAUUAAUUAAAAAAAUGUAAAAAUUUUGAAAAAAAUUACAAAGUCUUCUAUAAAAUUCUACACAGGCUGUGUAGGUUGGCCAUAGCCAGGAUGCGUUGGUAGAGGGUAAGGGUUCCAUGUUUGCUAUGUGACAUGUAGGUGAUCCAUGAUGCUACACUGAUUAAUGCUACAUCUAGGUGAUAAACUAAUUAGUUUUUCUGGAAAUUCUGUUGCGGGGUGUGUGUGCAGAGAUGAUUAAUUAGCUGAGAAGUUUAUUCUAGCAUUCUAGCCCCCAAGAUCACACUCACAAAUGGGUCUAUCUUACGAAUAAUUUUGUCAAACAACCUUACACAAAUCCAAUAAGUGAUGUAAUAAAAUACUAAAAUACCAAUAAUAUGCUAAUCAAUAUAAAAAAAAGUUAGAGCAAAGCAAUAGAAAAUCCAUUUUGAUUAAUCAGUAUAUAAUCCACAUUUUGACAUGGAUGUUUCACCUAGACGUAGCCAUUUUAAUUAAACAACCUUUUAUUAUCACCACCAUGAUUUACUAUCAUCUUUUAUCUACAGUCACAAUUUUAACUUUAAAUUUCUGGGAUAAUAAAUAUAGUGUAUGUCCAACUAUUUUACUGUAAACGAUAGUCAGAGCAGAAACGGGCACCUACACCAAUAACCAGUAACAUUACAGAGAGCUUUUGCAUGUUUAGUGACUAUCUUACCAUUUUGUACUCAAUUUUUCAUGUUUAAUGACUAUCUGAUCUUGUUGAAUGGCUUCUUGACUAUCCAAAGUAAAAGAACAUUGUGAAACCAAGGUGUGUUGCUUCACAAAGGAGCACAUUCAGCAUGUGUUACCAUUCAGCAUCAAUGGACAAUAUUUUUCUUCAAACUCCUAGCCAAUGUUAUUGAGGGCUCCUUGGCAUUAGAUUCAUAUUAAUCAAUUAAUGACUAAGAGUAAAAUAGCCUCAUAUUUCUACAAUUUAACGACUUAGCUCAGAACAAAUAAUAGAGCAUGUACGUUUAUAUCAUUAUAUGACCGUGAAAACCAGAAAUGUUUCCUGCAAAUAAAAAGUUUAUUUUGUUGAUUCAUUUGACUGUGACUUGAACAUUUUCAGCCUAAUAAAUAGUCCAUAUUUGUUUUCCAACACUCAGAAUUAAUUUGGUAAACAAAUUUCUUCCUGUAUAGCAAAUUUUCAGCCAAACAUAUGUAAAACUCAAAUUUGUCUAAAAUGAUCGUAAACCCUUUCUUUUAUUCACUGUUGUACUCUGUUUGUCUUAUCUACUAUUUGGUCCUAGAAACCCAAACUGUAAUUAGUUGUUUUCCAAAACCUGAACUUCUUCUUCUUUUACAACUAAACUUGUCACAUUCUUUUCUAUUUACAAAUUUUAUGUAAAGUCCUUAUAAAUUAGAUGAUAUGUUCAAACGCAUAUAUCUAUUUGAUAAGUCCAAAAGAGUGGAAUAUAAAGUAGAUUUACCUUAUGGAUCUGCAAAUCAUUCCUUUUUAAAGCUCUUCAUUAGUAACGACAACAUAAACAUAUAUAAUCCCAAACCAAGCUCUAAGUCCUUUCAUUUGUGGCAUCUAUUUCCUUGCAGCAAUCACAAUUUAAUGCUUCAGUAAGGAUAGUAGAAUAGGUUCUUACCUGUAAACAUGACAAACACAUGAAAAUACUUAAGAUAAGUCAAUUCCUGUAUAAUUCUCACACAUAGUUGUCUGCAAAAAAUGAUAAAUGAAGACUGGCAUAUGAAAGCAAUGCAAGAAUGAAGUGGAACACAUUCACGAUACAUUAAUGUUGCUUACAAUAAGCAAAAUUCAAAUUUAUUUGAUAUAAGCUUACAUAUCCAUAUGUUGAAACCUCUGCUCUACAUAAACCAAUUUGCACUGGUGGCUUUCAUUCUAUUCUCAUUCAUAUUUUUUUUGUCUUAUUAGUCCCUAUACUCACUCUGCUACUAAUCAUCGCUGCCAUCCAAAUGACAAUAAGGUUCUUUUUUAAAUUAAUAAAACCAUAUUCCCACCUGGAUGGGUAGCUAACACUGACUACUGCAACUGGUAUGCUACUAUGUUAUCGACUGCUACUAUAUAAGUUGAUUAUACACAUUUACUAUAGAAGUUAUUACAUGUUAAUGUAUUUAUCAUAAAGCAAAUUGCUGAUCCAAUUUGAAUUUAUAGAUUAAUUCAACCAAAUAAAAAUCAAUACAUUGUUGGCCUAACCAAUUGCGAGGGUAUUGCAUUGUAUUGAUGCAGGUUGUGGCACAAAGUCAUAUUUACGAAACCAAGGCAUGGGAAAUUUUGAUUAGGCCAACAAACUCACAGACUAAUUUUACAAAACUGAAUAAAACUGAACAGGUGAAUACCAUCAUCAUUCUUGAUACUUUUGAGGCUUUGACCAAUUUAGAUAAUUUCUAAGAUAUAUAUUUGCAAGUAAAAAAACGAUAUAUAUUUGCAAGAUUUUAAGAGAUGGGGUAAGAUAGUUAUAUUAAAAAUCGAUCGUUAUUGUUUAAGAUAAAUUAAAAUUUACUAUGCUGAAAAUCGAUCGUUAUUGUUUAAGGUUUAAUGGCUAAUCUUUUGCUAAGCCCUUAUUAUUGCUAAACUGAUUAUUAUGUCAGAAAUUUAGAAAUUGGUUUAAAAGUUGGUUUGAUUAUAUAAUAAAGAGAGGUCGUUCAGAGUUUGAUUAAAGAACAAAGAUGGAGUUUGAUUGAAGGAGAAAAGGAGGUUUAUGAUAGGGGACUUACCUUGGCGAUGAUAAAUAGGAUUGAAGAUGAUGAUUAGGCUUAUAAUGGCGCUACCAUGGUAGGCAUAAUUAAUUUAAUUGUAUACUACAAUAAAAAUAUAAAUUUGGAUAAAUAAAAUAGUUUCAAUUAUAUGUUAGUACAGGGAUUAUCUUCUAUGAUAGAAAAAUAGAAAUUGAUAAAAAAGUAGAAAGAGAGGUUUGAUUGAAGGAGAAAUACAUACCUUUUGAAGAAAGUUGAUUGAUGACUGAUAUGAUGAUGUUUUAUUAAGGUUUAGUGAAGAAGAGAAAGGUUUGGUAGGGGAAGAAAAAAGGUUUAGUGAAAAAAGCAGUAAUCAAAAUUAUGCAAUUGGUAUAAAUUUUAAAAAUUUGAUAAAUUUUAAAAAUUUGAGAAGAGAAGAGAAGAGAAUGAGAUGGGGGCGGCUGGACGGGGAAGAAGUUUGAGAAAGACAGAAGUUGGGGAAGAGAAAGGGAAGAGAAAGAUGGGGACGGGGAAGAAAGAUUGGGGUUUUAAUCCUAGUCACACUAAAUAUUAAUCUUAGUCAUACUAAUUUAAUCCUAGUCACACUAAAUAUUAAUCCUAGUCAUACUAAAUUUUAGUCCUAGUCAAAUUAUGCACCCUUUGCUGAUUAUAAUUUAGAUUCAAAAACAAACUAAUUAAAUUGGUCAAGGUUUAUACUGCUAUAUAUACUUAGCAAUAUUUUGGUUAAUGUUACCGUCACCGAAUUUAAUUAGUUCAAUAGUGUACCUAAAUUUUUUAUUCAGGCAUUUAACAUUAGUUAGAUGAUCAAUAUUGGUGGUUAAUUUUUUGAAUUAAAUUUUGAAUUGAACUAAUAACAGAAUGCAUUAGAUUCUACAAUUUUAAAUUAGAAUUUGUUAAAGGUGGAUAAAUGCAUGUAACUAACUGUAAUAUAUAUAUAUAUAGGCUCUCAUACGGACCUGUUUAAUGCGGACCUGUGCGGACAUACCAAAAAUAAAAAGAGUCACGUGAGUUUUAAACGCUAAUGUGAUAUAUUGUACAGGGUUGAGUUUAACCCAGUUAGAAUCCGAUUAUGCGUCUGUUUCCUGUAUUUCUUUCUACUUGUAUCUCUUUCUCUCUCUCCCCAUUUCUAAGCUUCUCCUUCUGCACUUCUUCUAAUUAAUGGAAAUAUGUUAUCAACCAAAGUGAAAAUGAAUUAAGCAGAGUAAUAACAAGGUUACAUAGCCUGACAACCAAUUAAGCAGAGUAAUCAUGAAAUAUGGAAUCGUUUAUCAAACCAUAGUGAAUAAUUCGUCCUAGCAUUAUUGAAAGUACCUAUAAGGAACCCAUCCCUGGAUGGAUCGAAGGGCUCAAGUUUCAUAUUCAAUGGCUGCCAUAGCAAAUUCUGUUCUACAACUUGGAAUUUUUUAUUCAGAGAUCUAGAUGGUUGUGGUAUAUAUGUUUCUACUAGUACAAUUGACUCUCUGUUUUUUGGCAACCUACAGUUGACUAUCUAUCAAAUGAUUAGGGACGGCUCGACCUGACCCUAGUUACAUAUGUUUCUAGUAGAAUUGCUAACUAGUUUUUGGUUUUUUUUUAUUUCUCAUUGUCAGGUAUUCUUUUUGCAUGGAUAAUUUGGAACCAGGUAGUGAUUUAUUCAAAAUUAAUGGGAUUGAGAACAAUACAGAGUUGGAAGAAGUAGAGAUGAGGGAGAAUGCAGAGGAAAGUUUCAACUACGACAUUAUUCUUCCUAUAGCAAAUAAUCUAAAACCUCAUAUGGGCCAAGAUUUUUCUUCCCUAGAUGAUGUUUUAGAAUUUUACAAUGCUUAUGCAAAAGAAGCAGGAUUUAGCGUGCGAAAAUGGUCUGAGAAAAAGAAUGCAAAUAAGGAGAUAUUAAGAAAAGAGUAUGUUUGUUUUAAACAAGGGAAAUGUUCACUAAUAGAGGAUGCAGAAAAAUCAAGGCGUCGAGGUUCAUUAAGAGAGGGUUGUAAGGCAAAAUUAGCUGUUGCCAAGUCGGGAAAUGGUAAAUUUGCAGUUACAAUAUUUGUUGAGGGCCACAACCACACAUUGUCAACUCCAAGAAAAACUCAUCUUUUAAGAUCACAUCGUUUCAAUUGCCCAAAAAUGUUUGUCUCAGCAAUUUAGUAUGGUGAAUAUACCAACACAUCAGCAGUACAAUUUUCUUGGAGUACAGGCUGGAGGAUUUGAAAAUAUUGGAUGUAUUCAAAAAGAUUUGUACAAUUACCAGAGAGAUGUACGUAAAGAGUUGAAAGGGCAUGAUGCAAAAAUGUUUCGUGAGUACUUGAAGUCAGAAGAAGAGAAGAAUCCAUCAUUCACUUACACCAUUGAUGUAGAUGAUGAGCAAAGGAUUUGUCGGGUUUUUUGGGCAGAUGCGACCUCUAGAAAAGAUUAUGCAUUGUAUGGCGAUGUAGUUGUAUUUGAUACAACAUAUAACACCAAUCGUUACAAAUUGAUUUUGGCACCUUUGAUGGGAGUUAAUAAUCAUGGCCAAACAAUUAUCUUUGGGUGUGCAUUCUUAAGUGACGAAACCAUUCCUUCUUUUGUUUGGUUAUUCAAACAAUUUUUGCAAGCUAUGCCAGGUGAUGCUCCUAAAAUGAUUAUUACAGAUCAGGAUCCGGCUAUGACAAAUGCAAUUGCUCAGACUCUUCCAAAAACUUUUCACAGGUAUUGCAGUUGGCAUAUAUUGAACAAAUUUUCUGAGAAGUUGGAUGCUGUGAAAUAUAGUAUUUACUACAAAAAGUUUUAUAAUUGUAUAUGGCACUCAAAAAGUCAAGAAGAAUUUGACUUGGUCUGGUUAGAUCUUGUACAGAAAAGUGGUCUUCAAGACAACAAAUGGCUAGAAUCAAUGUUUGAAAUUCGUUUGAAGUGGGUGCCUGUAUACACAAGUCAUGUAUUCUCACCUGAAAUGUCAAGCAGCCAAAGGGCUGAGAGUUCUCAUUCAUUCUUCAAGAAAUAUGUUCAAGAGGAAAAUUCAUGGUUCAGUUUGAUAGAGGACUUCAAAAACAGCGUCACGAAGCAUUGAUCGUAGAUAACAAAGAUGUGAUUGAGAAACCUAAAUUAAAAAUGUUCCACAAUAUUUUGGUGCAAAUGGUUGAUAUUUACACGAACGAGAUAUUUUUCAAAUUCCAAAGAGAACUGUUGGAGAGCUUCAAUUACAAAUUUCAGAUUAUCAGUGAGACAGAUACUCUUCGAUUAUAUAAGACUCAAAGAAAAAAAUCUUGAGACAGAUAAAGGGAGACAGGUUUCAUAUGAAAAGGAUUUGGAUCAUGUUUCUUGCUCAUGCAAUAAAUUUGAGAGCAUGGGCAUCCCAUGUCGACAUAUUUUGGCAUAUUUGCACAAAUAUACAGAUAUUUGGAGUAAAUCUACAAAAUCCAAAACCGUCAUAGAUCAUGGUGGUAUGGAGAUCGUUGAUGACAGAACUUAUUUCUUGGAACGAAGUAGAUUAAUUCAAUGUUGUUUGGGUGUGGUAAAUAAGGCCUUGACCAAAACAAAUUCUGAUAGAUGCCUUGAGUAGUGCUGAAGAGAAAAUUAACUUACUCAUUGCUUCUAGUGGAAGUGAAAAGAAAGAUAAUUACACUGUUGAUUACAGUACAAGUGGGAAGAGAAAGAAAAUGGUUGAUUGUGUUACAGAUGUUGAAAUGACUGAACAAGCAAAUUGUUACCGUGAACCAAAUCAAGCAAGGGCAAAAGGAUGCGGUAAAAGGUUUAAAGGUGGCAAAGAAAAGGCAACAGGAAGCGGAAAAAAAAUCGAAGGAAGGCUAUGUAAGGGAUGUAAUCAACGAGGAGUAGGACAUGAUAUAAGAACUUGUCCGAAACUUGCAGGUGUUUCACUUUCACAACCGUGAAAGAUUAAAGGUAUAUGUGCUUGAUGAGUUUUUUGUUAUGAUUUAAUCCUAUUUGAUUAAGUUACGAUAAUCCUUUAUUUCUAAUGGUUCUUUAAUGUAAUAUUUUUUUGUUUUGCUCAGGUGCAAAGACAUGGCAAAACCUAUGGAUGUGGGUGAGAAAGAAAAUGAAAAAACAUUGAAGACUAAUUAUGUUUAGUUUGUGUUCAGUUUUGAACUUUGCAGAGAUUUGAUUUCGAGAAUUCUUUUGUUGUUCAUGUGACUUUAAGAAGGCUUUGCCAUAUUGUCCAAUAUUGUUUUCAUCUGUUUCAAUUAAUGAAUGAUCAGUUUUAGUAACAUUUCAAAGCAUUUUCAUUAUCUCUUUAAAUGAAUAGCACAUUUUAUCCCAUGUAGAUGGAUGGAUUUCUUGAUCAGGCAGUUGUGAAAGGAGCGCUUGAACGUAGGCCACUGCUGAACUACAAUAGAUUAAUUGGGGACUGUAGCGAUGUAGCCUGGAAGGUGUUAUCUUACACAUCACUACAACAGUUUGGUGUAUCUGGAAAGCUAGCUAGGAACAAUAUUAUCUUCAAUGGGGAGGAAAUGGACAUGGACAAACUAGCAAAGUUCAUUAAACUGACUGUCUUGGGUUUGGAUGGAGGUGCCUAAAGAUGGUGAACUGGCAGCUUGCAACAGGGGCAGCAUGGUAAGGUUUCUAAGAUGGAGUGCAUAUUUGUCUGUAAUUGUAAGGUCAGAGUUUGUAUUUGUUUUUGUAUCUUCGCAACCUGCUACAAAUGCCUCAACAACGUGUAAUUGGUUUGUGAUUUUGAGAUUAAUAAAAAGAAAUUGGUUUGUAAUCGCUGAUUUAAUGUGACCACCAUCAAUUCUAAAUAGUGCAGUAAACAAGGACAAAGAUCAUUCCACCAAAAGAGCAAGCAAUACCCAAAACACCACCACAACUUCACAAGGAUCUUUUCCAAAUGACAAUAGCUAUUAUAAUAUUGAGGAAGAGAAGGGAAUCUAUAAACUUAGCUAUUUAAUCUCUAUAAAAAAAAAUCCAACUAUCCAUUGAUAUGCUUUCAAUUAAUAACUAGCAAUAAAGAAUCUUAGUAGAUUCGAACCACUAUCUCAUGAGAUGUAUCAUCUAGAAGUUGCUCAUAUUCUCAAGUGCUCUACCAUUUGACCUAAAGAUCCAAUUAAAUCAUAUAAAUAAACUAAACACACAGAAACAAUGUUUUCUUACUCUACUCUUAGUGUUAUACCAUUAUACAAGGUACUAGCAAUAAAAAGAGGAUGGACAUACCUUUGGAUAGAAUCUGAUUCACAGAUGGUAAACUGUCUUGGUCUAUUAAGAACAUAUGGUAAAGGGUUGCUAAAAAGUUUAUUUACCUGCAAAUGUCUUCGAAUUAAAGGAAAGCAUUUUGUCAAGUAUCUGUUAUACAUCUUCUGCAACACAAAAUAAACUCACACCCCAAAACUACUACAUAUCAUCAAUAGUUGCUACAAAGACUCUCAAAACAAACAAGAUCAAUGGCAAAACCAAACUCUACCUUAAGAUAUGAUAAUUGUAGGGGUACUACAUACUCCGACCAAUCAAAAGCAGCCACGUGGCACAGUCACCAAUCUGUCAGGUCGCCACAAUCUCAACCCGCUAGCAGCUCGACUAAAGCGACCAGACUACACAACGACCAGCGACCUGCUAUUCACACGUGCUCCUAUUCAAUGCACAGAAUAUUCUCAUCAGUUACAGAAUUAAUUCACAAGGAUGAUCCUCGCGCGUUACACAUUUAAUCAUCAUUAUGAUGGCGGAGAAUCUGCAAGAUCCACGAUCCACGCCCUUCCAUCUUCUAUAUAAACAGAACUACGAUGGCUUGAUCUCUAAGUUCAAUUCCCCCGAGCUAGAGUACGUAGGCAAUCUCGAUCUCAACGAGGUGCAGCCACCCCAAUCUCCAAUAUCCCCAUUUGGUCAAGUCUCCAUAAACGACCUGACCCUGUUGAUGCAUUAAUCUAGAAAUAGGUUAAUACAUUUGGCGCCGACUGCAAGGAAUUCGAUAUACUCGAAAACCCAAAACCCUCCCACCCUUAAAUCAAAAUUCACUCGAUCCAAUGACUAAUCAGGAAGUCACCAUCCAAGAUCUGCAGGCACAAAUUACACGUCUGCAGGAAGAAAAUGAGCGUCUAAAAGCCGCACAAACCAACCCCCAGCAAGGGGAAAAUAGCGGACUUGGAGUCAUCCCUGCUGAUGAUUCCAACCAAAAGUUCGAGCAACUCAGCCAGCAGCUGGCGGAGUUCAAAGCAUCUCAGGCUCUCCUUCACCGGUCCAAGAGCCACACUGCAGAGCAACUUGCUGUGCAGUCCCUUCAACAAUUCCAGGAGUCUCCUUUCUCCAACGAGAUCCUGGAACAUGAUCUGCCGAACAAGCUGAACGCCCCAAAGUUCGACCAGUAUGCAGGAGUCGGAGAUCCAACCGACCAUGUCAAGGGAUUCCGAAAGUCCCUUCCUCUGAUAAAGGAGGAUCAUCUUUUGUGUUUGCUGUUUCAGUCCAGCCUCACCGGACCAGCUCUCGACUGGUUUCAUCGACUGAAGCCAGGAUCCAUCAGCUCGUUUGCAGAGCUUGAAAAACAAUUCGUCAUUUUCUACAUCCACAAUAAGAAGCGCCCUGUUACCAUUGACUCCAUCUUCAAAGUCAAGCAGAAGGAUGGUGAGUCACUUAGCGUUUUCUUUGCACGUUUUAAAUCUGAGUUACAUUCCAUUCAGGAUUUCGCAAAGGAGCAUGAGACCUUUGCAACUAUUGCUUUCUCUCACGGACUGAUCCAAGGGUCCGACCUGCACAAGUCUCUGGCAAUGAAGAGACCUUCAUCACUUGACGAGCUCUACCUAAAGGUAGAUCGUUAUAUUAAGCUAGAAGAAGCCCUCACUUGGAGGGAGAAGAACCAUGUAGUCAGCAACAUUGAGGCUGGCUCAAGCAAACGACCUCGAUCAGAAGGAAAGAGGUUCAAAGCUAAGUCGCUGCCUACCGAGCAGCGAGAGUAUCACCGGUUUACGCGACCAGCCGGUUAUAUCUUCGAAAGGAUCAAGCACAACCAUUGGUGCAAAAUUCCUGCCUUCACACAGCUGGAGGAUACAUCUGGUCGCCCGUACUGCAAAGUACAUAAAGUACGGUGUCAUCAGACUGAUGAUUGUCGCGUCUUGAAGCGCGCACUUCAAACCUGGGCCGAUGAGAAACGGCUCAAUAAUUGGAUCCUCGGAAGGAAUGAGGAGUCCACAGCCAAGCGAAUGAGGAAGGAAUCCAGAACCCCUCCUCGUUCACCUAAGCGGGGUCAAAGCAAGGCCAGAGCGACCUCCGCAAGCCCAGCACGCAGCAGAGGGCGUAGCCUCUCCCAGCGCUUAGGUCCAACAGGCGACCUACGCGAUCAUAUAAACAAGAAGGUCGCAAACAAGGUUGACAGCGACAGCGACUCGGACAGUCAUGUGGUCUACAUGAUUGACGAAUCUCAUCACACCCCUGUCUCUAGGGACAAAAAGAGACGAGUGGAACAUCUCCACCAUGUCUAUUCUAUCAGUGGCCGAGCAGCUCGCUUCAACAUCCCUGCCCGGCAAGAGACUGACAUCACCUUCACUGAGGACGAUCUCAAUAAGGUCGUUACUCCACACAACGACGCCCUAGUCGUUGAACUAAGAAUUGCGGACUACACAAUCAAGAGGGUAUUCAUCGACCCUGGGGCUUCAUGUAACAUUCUCAUGUACCGAACCUUCAAAGACAUGAGGCUGCCCGAUUCAGUGCUCAUCCCAGACUUCACACCGAUCCUUGGCUUCAAUAGUUCAAGGGAAGACCCUAAGGGGGAGAUCCUUCUGCCCGUCACUGUAGGCAGAAGGGAAGAUAAGGUCGUUGUAACCAGCAAGUUCAGCGUCCUAAAUAUCGCAAGCAAGUACAAUGCGAUUCUGGGUCGAAAGUGGGUCCAUGCUAUGAGAGGAGUGCCGUCAACUUACCAUCAGGUAUUCCGCUAUCCCGGCCCUUAUGGGAUAAUGGAACUCCGCGGCAAUCAGAACACCGCACAAGAAUGCCACGGUGUUAUUGAAGCUGUCCCAUCGUCAAAGCAUCCACCUCUGGAGUCAAGGAUGGUGAUGUCAAAGGAAAGAGCCUAGUCCCAACAGAGGCUCAGGAGGGCAACAAAUCAAAGAGCCCAUCCAAGGAAAAAGUUGAACCUGCUAAAUAGCAAUUACAGAAGGAGCAAGCGAGCUCCCCCAAGCUGAGUCUCGGAAGCACCGAUCUAGGCGUCCGAGUUAACAUUGGGUCAGAUGAGGACCCAAGGUAUGUCUAUGUAGGUUCAGAAAUGGAAGAAGAUAAGUUCGCUCAUUUUGUAAAUUUUCUUUCAAUGAAUAAAGAUGUUUUUGCUUGGUCGUAUAUCGAUAUGCCCGGAAUAGAUCCAUCAAUUGCAUGCCAUAGGCUACGGGUCAAUCCCAAUUAUCGACCUGUGAAGCAGAAACCAAGGAGACUUGCUCCCAAGUUUCACGAAGCCGUCAAUGAAGAGAUCAAUAGACUCAAACAGGUCGGCUUCAUCAGAGAAGUCGAUACUCCAGACUGGCUAGCCAACAUAGUCCCAGUCCUAAAGAAGAAUGGGAAAACAAGGGUCUGCAUCGACUUCACGAGCUUGAAUAAAGCUUGUCCUAAAGAUUCAUUCCCACUGCCACGAAUCGAUAGGCUAGUCGAUCAGACAUGCGGUUUUGAGCUAUUGUCAUUUAUGGACGCAUACUCAGGGUACAAUCAGAUCCCAAUGUACGAGCCUGAUCAAGAAAAGACCUCUUUCACGACUGAGCAAGGUAUUUUCUGUUACAAAGUCAUGCCAUUCGGGCUAAGAAAUGCAGGGGCGACCUACCAAAGACUGGUCACCAGAAUGUUCGACGACCUCCUAGGUCGAACAAUGGAAGUCUACAUUGAUGACAUGCUAGUGAAGAGCGACAAAGAACGAGAUCAUUUGUCCAACCUUGACCAGGCAUUCCAAAGAUUAAGGCAAUACAGAAUGCGUCUUAAUCCAGAAAAGUGUCUGUUCGGGGUCGCAUCAGGAAAAUUCCUAGGCUACCUAGUCACCAGACGAGGCAUCGAAGCAAAUCCCGACCAGAUCAGAGCCCUGAUCGACAUGCCAAGUCCAAAAACAAAGAAACAAAUCCAGAAGCUCAACGGCAUGGUUUCAGCUCUGAACAGAUUCAUCUCCAGAGCAUCAGACAAAUGUAGACCAAUGCUUCAUAUCUUAAAGAAGGGGGCUACAUAUGAGUGGACAGAAGAGUGUGAGAAAGCCUUCGAUGAUCUCAAGGCAUAUCUGUCUACUCCACCAGUUCUUACAAGACCAAUAGAUGGUGAUGUACUUGGCGUUUACCUCGCAACAUCAGAUUUUGCGAUAAGCGCAGUACUUUUCAAAGAAGACAAUCAAGUGGAACGUCCUAUCUACUUCACAAGCAAAGUCUUACAGCAGGCUGAAAUAAGGUACACACCUCUGGAGAAGUUAGCAUUAGCAUUACUUUACGCUGCAUGCAAAUUCAAGCCUUAUUUCCAAGCACACACUGUAAAAGUAAUCACCGAUCAGCCAUUACGCCACAUACUAGAAAAGAAAAACAAAACAGGUCGUAUGGCUCGAUGGGCAGCCGAGCUGGGUGAUUACACUUUCGAGUUCGUUUCAAGACAGGCCGUCAAGGGUCAGGUCGUUGCAGAAUUUUUGGUAGACUAUCCAGCAGAAGAUGUCAAUUGGGAACCUGAACCCGAAACAAGGCAAGUCCAAGACAACCCCCCAGACACUUGGCAGCUGUAUGUAGAUGGUUCCCAUAACUCCAAUGGAAGUGGAAUAGGUAGUGUGCUAAUCUCUCCUGAAGGCUCACAGCUCGAAAGAGCAACUCGUCUGGACUUUUCGACCUCAAACAACGAGGCCGAAUACGAAGCACUCAUACAGGGCCUAAAAAUGGCCAUCGACUUGCAAGCAGUUCGUCUCAAGGUGUACAGCGAUUCACAGUUGGUAGUCAAUCAGAUUACCAGCAAUUACCAGAUCAAUGGGGUCAACCUCAUCAGGUAUGCUAGCAAAGCAAAGGAGCUCAUCAGCAAGCUCAGCUAUUUCACAAUCGAGCAUAUACCUAGAGACGACAACAGACAUGCUGAUUCACUGGCAUUUCUAGCAUCUAAGAUCGACUCAGACAGACCGCGGGCCCUAACUAUAGCAAUCAACUCACAGCCCGCAUAUCUCUUCAAGGAAGAAGAUAUUAAUCAAAUUUCCGAUCUACUUGAAACAACUCCAGCAGACAUCCAGGGGACUUGGAUGGAGCCUUUCAUGGUUUAUCUGCAAACGGGUGCCCUACCAUCCGACAAAAAAGAAGCCAGUCGAUUGCUGCAUAAAGUCACAAUGUACAAAAUCCAUGAGGGCAAACUAUUCAGAAAAUCAGCAACUGGAUUGUUAUUACGAUGCUUGAUCCCAAAGCAGGGGCAGAUGAUAUUUCAAGAAAUCCAUGAAGAUGAAUGUGGAAACCAUUCCGGUGGGCGUACCUUAGCCCAUAAAGCAAUCUCUCAAGGAUACUUCUGGCCAAGAAUGAAAGAAGAUGCAAAGAAAUUUGUUUUGAAGUGCAAAGAAUGCCAGCGGUUUGCUGAUAAGCAACACCAGCAUCCAAAUGAUCUCAUCAACAUCACUGCACCAUGGCCAUUCCACAUGUGGGGGCUAGAUAUCAUGGGUCCCUUCAUCAAAGAAAAGAAGUCGGAGAAGAGGUUCGUUCUAGUAGCCGUCGACUAUUUCACUAAAUGGGUGGAAGCUGUUGCCUUAACCAAUGUCACACAGGCAGAUGUCCAGAGAUUUAUGUGGGAAAAUAUCAUCACAAGGUUCGGGCUACCUAAACGAGUAGUCACAGACAAUGGCACUCAGUUCGUUGGGAAGAAUAUCAAAAAAUUCUACGACCUCUGGAAAAUCGAGCAUUCAAGGUCAACUCCUAGGUACCCGCAAGCCAAUGGCCAGGUUGAAGCUGCAAAUCGACAGAUUCUAACCAAUCUGAAGAAGAAGCUCGAAGACCAGCAUGAUCAAUGGCCACAACAAUUGGAGAACAUCUUAUGGGCUUAUAGAACAACUCCUCGCACAUCCACAGGGAUGUCACCAUUCAGUCUUUGCUAUGGAGUAGAGGCCGUUAUUCCCACUGAAUUAACAUACGGAACGACCAAAUCUCUUCUGGUCGACACAGAGCUCAACAAUCAGAUCUGGUCGUUUGGAGUCGACCUCCUCGAAGAGCGACGUAACCACGCCACUAUAAAGCUCGAGCAAUACCAACAGAGACUCAAGCGAGCUUAUAACAAAGGCGUGCGACCAAGAACUUUCCAGCCAGGGGAAUUAGUCUUAAGAAGAAUGUUCAGUAAUAAAAGAAAGGACACUAUCGGCAAACUCAACGCCAAUUGGGAAGGUCCUUACAUUAUCACAAAAGUCCAGAGCAACGGUUCUUAUCGUCUUCAGACACCAGAAGGGGAGAUCGUUAAGAACCCGUGGAAUGCUUUCCAUUUAAAGAAAUUUUAUCAGUGAAAUGUAAGCAUCCAUUCAUUGCAUUUCAAUCUAUAAAUUCAAUUUUGCCUUCAUCUCUGCUCAAAUAUGAAUGGCUACUAAAGGUCCAAUCCCUCGACCUACAAAUUAUCAAUAAUCUAGUCCCUUUGAUAAUUUAAAAAUUUGUUAAGUUAAAUCACUAGCAACUUAACUUGGUGCAUUGGUCUUUCUCUUCCCACGACCCAAGCACAAUUAUGUUAAAUGCGACCUCAACCCCCGAUCAGGUCGAACAAAUGUCACACAUUGUUUGCAAGUCAAUUCAAGCAGACAAAACGACAUAAUCAACAAUGCAAGGUAAAUAGUUGAAUUAACUUUUACUUUAUGAGAUUUUAACAAUUACAGGUACAACCAAAAUAGAAUCAAGGCAUACAAGAGGAACUGUUUCAGUGCGUCCUGCUUGCAGCCAUUCAUCUCGUCUACCUGCCUUCUGAACGAGCUACCAGGACUUCCUGGAAACUAGCUGGCCAAAAGGAAUCCAUACAAAACUCAUCGAAGUAAAAACUGAUUACUGACACCAAGUCCAAGAGACAAGAAGUUCUCCAAUCAAGCUUUCAAAGAUUACAAGGGGGGCUCUCAAGAAUAAGCUAUGGAAGACAUAACGCAACAACAACGAGUAUGCAGGAAGCAAACCUUGCACAAGGUUACCCAAUACAAGAAAGGGAAACCAAGGUUACCCAAUACAAGAAAGGGAAAACAAGGUUACCCAAUACAAGAAAGGGAAACCAAGGUUACCCAAUACAAGAAGGGGAAAACAAAGUUACCCAAUACAAGAAAGGGAAACCAAGGCGAACUCAUUGCUGCACAGACUGGUCGCCUAAAGCAUCAGCUUCAAUAAGGGCUCCAGCGACCUGGUCACUAGGGCCCAUCGAGGUGUCCUGAGCUGGCGCCAAAGUCUCUUCAACACCACCUCGCGUCUCCUCUCCUUCGGGCGAUCCCGUCAUAGCUUGGACCAGUUGCUCGCAGUAGGCCUUCCACGCUGCUUCAUUCUCCUGACAAACUCUCUGCCAGUACUCAACAGAAGAUUGGGAAGCAGCCUCACGUUCCCUCAACUGUUCCUUCAAAGCUGCGACCUGGGCAUCCCUGUCCUUGACCUUACACUCAGCAACGGCAGCAAUGUUCCUCGCCUGCUCGAGCUUCUCAUUGAGAGACUUCAACUCAAUUUCAGCUUGAGCACCAAUCUCAGCAACCAGACGCACCUCCUGGAAGCUGGCAUUGAGCUGCAACCACCAAACGAAAUUUAGCACAAAUACCAAAGCAUAAUCAAAACAAAUACGACUUACAAUCAAACUCACCAAAGAAAGUGCCCCGUUUAUCUUUGAGCAGGUCACCAGCAGAGGCUGCGACUUCACCAUUCGGGCAUCAGCAUCCAGGACGAUACCCUCAUUCACAGCCCGGGCAACACAAGGGUCAUCAAUAGCACUGUCGUUGUCGUACACGACAUGCUUCUCUCCUUGCCCGUCCAAGUAAUCGAACGGCCCAGGGCGGAAUUCAGACAGAAUACCUUUGCCUUUCUGCGAAGGCCGAACAGCAGUCUUCCUGGACAUCACAGACAAUCCAGGAGACGUCGCAACCAAUGAAGAAACAGGAGUUGGCAUAGCUGGGAACUCCAUCAGCUUAAGGUUCCCUGAGAAGGACCUCUUCUUCCCAGCCAAUGCACCAACCUUAGGAAGUGAGGGGGGUGGACCUGAGACUGGAGGGCUCGCCACGACUCCAGCCUGGCGAGAACUACCUACAGCCCGCUCCUUCUCAGCAGGCAGCUCCCUCUCCACAGAUCGUUCCUGCACCACAGGUCGAUCCUGCACCACAGAUCGUUCCUGCACCACAGGUCGAUCCUUCUCAACAGGUCGCUCCUUUUCCGACCUUCUAGGAGCACCAACAGAACGCUCUCUAUCAGCUUGCUUCGAGCUACCACUUGCUCGUUCUCCUUCACCAGCUCGCGAACUACCACCAGUUCGCCCACCACUAACUUUGUGCACAGAAGACAUGUAUGCUUUCUUCAAAGCUUUCCUCCUCUUGAGCUCGUCCAACACAGUUUUUGGACCACCUUUAGGAAUGAAAUGCUCCUUUAGGUGAGGCAGAAACGAGAUCUUCCGCUCGUCAGUCAACUUACCAAAGCAGUUCAGAGCAGACUGCAGAUCGUUCUUUCUAAGAUGAUCGUCCCGAAUCGCUGCAGCAAAAAAUACAAAGACAUCAAGUUCAGAAACAGGAAGACGAACUAUCAUCAAACUACAGACAACUAACUUACGAUCAUCAUUCCUAAUCGUAUGACGCAACUGGACAUCCCCAUCAACAAUCGGACCAGUGAACAGCAUGGGAUCUUUCCACCAUGGCUCGCUACUCACUGGAUAAAUCAAAGGCAAACGUUCUGGCCUAACCUGCAUGUUAUAGCCAGAAAGUUCAACCUUCGAAGAGCGUUUGAAGCAAAAGUGGUUCAAUACAUCUUCCGCUGUAAUGUUCCACCUAUGCAACUUGUUGAGGUCGUCAAUUACCCUCAUGUUCCGCCAGAAAUUACCAUUCAUCUGACAGGGGGCUCGCCUAAUGGCAUUCAACAGGUCGACAACCAAUUCAGACAACGGCAACCUCAACCCAGCACGGAAUUGGUUCAACGUCAAUACAGUUGAUGAAGGAUUAUUAGGUCGGUAAUCAGGAGAAAGUAAGCGGUCCCCAAGAAACCUUAUCUCUAAAUUCCUAAUCGACCUAAACUUGUAAUGACUCCUAACAGCAAAAUGCCUAUGUACAUAAUUCAUAUUCACAAUCCUACACAUUCUACCAUCAUCAUCUUCAACCAUCUCAUCAUCAGAAGAAUCUGGACCAUGGGAACCACUACUCUGGGGGCUAUCUACAUUCUCAUCGGGAACGGGAGACGGAGGGUCAGAAUGAGUACUAUCAGACUCAUACUCUUCAAUUCCAUCAUCACUCAAGUGGUCAUUUUGAGAAUCACUACCCUCAGACAUUACUCUCAAGCAAUACAGAAGACAACAAACGAAGAAAAAGAAAGAAAAUAAACAAUCAGAGAAAAGAAAAGAGAACAAACCUCAUGAGCUCUCAAAGUUCUUCAGUUCGCAAGGCAAAAGCGGCAGCAAUUCAAAUAAAGGCAAGAUGAGUAAACCUACAUCAACGUAACUACAGUUUAUAUACUGUAGCUCGAGAAUUUCUAGCUCUGUGUCGACCAAAAGAGACUUGGUCGUUCCAAAUGUUAAUUCAGUGGGAAUAACGGCCUCAACUCCAUAACAAAACGGUUCGCAUCCACCGUUAGAUUGAUCCACGUGCAAGACAGAUAGCAAAUCAGGCAAUACGUGCAUCAGUUGCCAUAAUCACACAUCUAACUGCUCGAGGAAACUCCUCCACUUCCCCGUAACAGCGCCAUGAUUACCACAGACAGCGCUGCAUGACUGCCACGUCAGCAACUUCAAAAAAGCAAACUACAAAUCAGCAUCGAUAAGAGUAAUUAGUCUUUUCAGCCCGACUCUCAUAGUCGACCUAAAAAGAGGGGGCUUAUGUAGGGGUACUACAUACUCCGACCAAUCAAAAGCAGCCACGUGGCACAGUCACCAAUCUGUCAGGUCACCACAAUCUCAACCCGCUAGCAGCUCGACUAAAGCGACCAGACUACACAACGACCAGCGACCUGCUAUUCACACGUGCUCCUAUUCAAUGCACAGAAUAUUCUCAUCAGUUACAGAAUUAAUUCACAAGGAUGAUCCUCGCGCGUUACACAUUUAAUCAUCAUUAUGAUGGCGGAGAAUCUGCAAGAUCCACGAUCCACGCCCUUCCAUCUUCUAUAUAAACAGAACUACGAUGGCUUGAUCUCUAAGUUCAAUUCCCCCGAGCUAGAGUACGUAGGCAAUCUCGAUCUCAACGAGGUGCAGCCACCCCAAUCUCCAAUAUCCCCAUUUGGUCAAGUCUCCAUAAACGACCUGACCCUGUUGAUGCAUUAAUCUAGAAAUAGGUUAAUACAAUAAUAAAAAUUAAAAUAAAAUUCAAAAUACCUGUAAGUUGUAGAUACAACUAUACGACCGAAUCCUUAUUGAAGAAUCAGAGAUUGCGAUAAGAAAAGAACGGCAGAACAUACGAAACUGUUUAAGCUAGGUUAAAACUUGAGUCACAAAGAAGGAAGAGGAAGAGAAGAAGAAGAAGAGAGAGAGAGAGAGAGAGAGAGAGAAUCAAAUUACGUGAAUGAGGUUUUCUUUGUUUUUGCGCGAAAUAAGAAACUGGGUUUCAACUGGGUUAAAAAAGACCCAAUAGAGAAACCAUAUUUACGAAACAUAAAUUGGAGAGCACGUGAUUUUACUAGGUGGGUCCGCACCUGAGCCUCCCUAUAUAUAUACUGAGAGGCUUCUAUGGGGACCGUCCGUAUACGAACUUAGAUAUUCUUAGAAACAUCACGCGCCCUCUUUACAUUAUUAUGUAAAUCUGGUUUCUCUACCGGGUCAGAAAUAAACCUUCUUAAACCGGUUAUAUUCUUCUUCUCUCUCUUCCUCUCUUCGUGUCUUUGACUCUUUUCUCUGUUAACUGAUAUCUCUCCGUCUCAAUCUUAACAGAAAAUAGAAAAAAUUAUAAAAUAUAUGUUUCAUUUAAUUGUUGCCGCCACUGAGUUGUUCUCCCAAAUUGUUGAAAUUUAAAAGCUUGAAUGAUGAACGAAAAAAGAAAAAAGAAUUCUAAGUUUCGAAGGUUCACUCUUAGUUUUGGUUAUAGGUGGAUUGUUUAAGAGCCAAAUUACAAGCUUAAUCAAAAUCCCAUACACAAGUCAGCAUUAACAAAUCCCAAGAAGAAGCCAUAUUUGUCUAUUUCUCUGCAAACCAUAAUUUUGCGGAAGAAGAUGUGUGGUUUUCUAAAUCGAUGAAAUUGCAGAAAUUUCUAGAAGAUGGUGGAGGAGAUCGAAGAGAUUUUAUGGUCUUGUGUUCUUAUAGAUUCUGAAGUCUAUUGAUUGUUAUUAGAAUAUGCUUGAUAUUCACUAUGGUUUGAUAAACGAUUCCAUAUUUCAUGAUUACUCUGCUUAAUUGGUUGUCAGGCUAUGUAACCUUGUUAUUACUCUGCUUAAUUCAUUUUCACUUUGGUUGAUAACAUAUUUCCAUUAAUUAGAAGAAGUGCAGAAGGAGAAGCUUAGAAAUGGGGAGAGAGAGAAAGAGAUACAAGUAGAAAGAAAUACAGGAAACAGACGCAUAAUCGGAUCCUAACUGGGUUAAACUCAACCCUGUACAAUAUAUCACAUUAGCGUUUAAAACUCACGUGACUCUCUUUAUUUUUGGUAUGUCCGCACAGGUCCUCAUUAAACAGGUCCGUAUGAGAGCCUAUAUAUAUAUUACAGUUAGUUACAUGUAUUUAUCCACCUUUAACAAAUUCUAAUUUAAAAUUGUAGAAUCUAAUGCAUUCUGUUAUUAGUUCAAUUCAAAAUUUAAUUCAAAAAAUUAACCACCAAUAUUGAUCAUCUAACUAAUGUUAAAUGCCUGAAUAAAAAAUUUAGGUACACUAUUGAACUAAUUAAAUUCGGUGACGGUAACAUUAACCAAAAUAUUGCUAAGUAUAUAUAGCAGUAUAAACCUUGACCAAUUUAAUUAGUUUGUUUUUAAAUUUUGUUAUAAUAUCAAAAUGAUGAAUUCUUUAUUUAAGCAAAAUAUCUCAACUACAAAAAUGCUACCUGCUAUGGGUGAUCACUUGUGGGAAGAGAAAAAGAGAUAUGUGACCAAUUUGCCUUGCAAAAGAUAUUCUACAAAGAAUGUAUCGAUUCGAGCAAGUAGUUCGACUUCAGAUUUAGAUAUGUAUGCACCUAUAUCAAAAAUGCGAGACCACCUCUCUUCUUUGCCCAAUUCGGGUAGAGAAAAAACGGUGAACUCAGAUGGUCUUGGAAUUGUGAAAUUUCUUACAGGAAAGGUGUUUCUGAUAACUGGUGCGACUGGUUUCUUAGCCAAAGGUAUAGAUCACUGAAUUAAUUUUCUUAAGAUGUUUUGCUUUUAUUUUUCUGUUACAUAAUUGUAGUACAUUUAUUUUUCUGAAGCUUUUUUUUUAUUUCCUAAAAUGCCAUCAUACAUAGAUUUCUUUAUUGCGAUAUUUAAUGAUGUGCCGAAUUUACCAAUUGCAAAUAUCGUACAAUAUCGCGAUAUUUUGAUACUUACUCAUCAACUACUAGAAAGCAAAGCAGCUAUGAAAGCUUCUUUGAAACUCUCUGUAUAAACGAUAAUUCCAUCUCAAAAACCCAUUUUUCUUCGUACCCUUUCCUAAUUUUCAACUACCCAACUCGUCUCUUUCGUCAAAUUUCAUGAACAUAACAAAAUUUAAUCCAAGUUUAUAUUUUUUUUUCCCAAAAAUUCAACUAAAUUGAAAAAUCCAUUGGUGAAAAAAGUGAAUUUGUAGAAGAAGAGAGGAAUUUUUUUUUUUUUUUUUUAUUAAUAUUCAAAUUCUAAGUGACUCUUGAUCACGGUGAGAAAAUUCCAAAUGCUAAGAAGGUUUUGGGUAUGGGAAUGGGAUAGAAAUGAAGAGAAAUGGCAAGUGUUUGAUGAUAAGUGGGUUUUUUCAUCAAAGUUCUUUCCUCAAACACUAGUAAGUAUGGUUCCUUGGUAAGUCUGGUUUUUCGAUUUCGUAUUAUUUAUUUUUUUUGUCGUAAAUUUCCCUUAAGAGUAUAUCUCUGCAAAAAUCUAUGUGCUUUAAUAUUCUUGAACUUUUUAUAUUCUGUAUAAAAUAUAAAUAGAUAGAGAGUGUUGCAUAUAGUUGUUUGUUUUGGUCUUGAUUUAUUUUUAUUCAAUUUUGCAGUUCUUGUCGAGAAGAUUUUAAGGACUGUGCCUGAUGUGGGGAAGAUAUAUUUGUUGAUAAAAGCAAAAGACAAAGAUACAACAAUGGAAAGAUUGAAAAAAUAAGUAAGAUUCUAAGAUCAGUUAUAAUUUUCACUUUUUUAUAUAUCUUUGUCGUUAUAGAUUUAUUAAAAUCUGAAGCUACUUUAUUGGUUGAGUGUAGAUUGUAGAUUCAGAACUUUUCAGGUGCAUGGGGAAAUCCCAUGACAAUGUUUAUCGGGAAUUUAUAAUGAACAAGCUAGUACCUGUAGUUGGUAAUGUUUGUGAAUCCAAUCUUGGAAUGGAAGCAGAAUUAGAUGAUCUCAUUACAAAUGAGGUUGAAAUCAUAGUUCAUUCUGCUGGAAAUACAUCAUUUCACGAAAGGUCUAGUAUAUUUAUGUUUUGACAUUUUGCUUCUGUUAUUCACCAUGAUCCUAUCAAAAACUCUGAGAUAAACUUUUUCUCCGAGUCAUAUAAAGUUGUAGUAACACUCAUAUACUUACAAAAAUUUCAGGUAUGAUGUAGCCCUAGAUAUAAACACAUUGGGACCAUGUCGAGUUUUGAGCAUUGCAAAAAGAUGCACAAAGCUUACGUUGUUCAUGCAUGUAUCAACAGGUAUGGAUUCUUGUCACCUGAAAGAUUUACAACAUCAGCUUCUACUAUGAGCCUAUCUAGUGCAAAAUCAGACUGAAACCUAACAGGAUAUAACUUUCACAGAGUAUGUGAAUGGGCGUAGACAAGGAGUUGUCUCAGAGAAACCAUUCUACCUAGGAGAGAAUAUAGCUAGAGAAAAAGCUUCUUUAGAAAGUCCUGGGAGAUCUAUUCCAGUUUUGGAUGUAGAGGCUGAAAUAAAAAUGGGUUUUGAUGCAAGAUAUGCUUUUCAAGGCAAUAUGGUGACUCAAAAAAUGAAAGACUUGGGUUUAGAGAGGUAUUCACCCCACCGUCUCUGUUAUUUUGUUGUUCAUAUUUUUUUUUUUUUUUAUAUUGAUAAGCUCAACGAAUUACACAAAAGUAGAGGACAAACGCGCUACAAACUGCGCGGCAAGUCCUUUCUGGAUAGCAAACCCGAUUCUCCUAAAUACAUAUUCGUUCGAACCCGCAGUCAUCACGUUGCUAUUCAUUACCUUCUGCAUUCUCCCGAGGAGAGCAAUUGCUUCUGAGCCUAGCAAUCCAAAUGUGUCAAAUGCAAAGGGGAUGAAACUAUGUUGGUUAGCUCUAUAAGCUCCGUCAUGUUUCUCCACUUUUUUUUUUUAAUUUUUAAUUUAAUUUUAUAAAUUUUAUUCAAUUUAUAUUAUGAAUGACAACAUAUGCUGAUGACGAGUUGAUCUUGUUGCAUGGCACUAUUACUUGAUUGUGUUAAUUGCUGAAUUCUGAUGAUAUGAAUAAGUUAUGGAUUGUAAAUAUUUUAUGACAGGGCUAGAAUGUUUGGAUGGCAAGACACCUAUACGUUCACAAAGGCAAUGGGGGAGAUGAUGAUCGAAAGCAAAAGAAAGGACAUACCAGUAGUUAUAGUCCGCCCCAGCAUUAUUGAGAGUACCUACAAAGAACCCAUGCCUGGAUGGGUGGAAGGGAUCAGGUGUGUUUCUUGAAUUACGUUUUGUAUUCAAUUUUUUUAUCUUUUUUUUUACCCUUCCUUUUUAUUCUGGUUGGAUAAAUGUUAUGUGAAUACUAUGACCAGGAUGAUGGACCCAAUAGUUUUAUCUUAUGUAAAAGGUGAACUCACUGGAUUCCCCAUAGACACCAAGGGAGUUAUCGACGUGGUAAGUAGAAUUUGUUUACGCACUAUCUAUAUUCCAAAGCCACUACAUCUUGUGUAUGUGUUAUUUUGUUUGUCUGUCUCUAUUUUGAUUUUGAUUUAACUUUCAAUCAAAUGAAAACAUGAUUUGAUGUAGGUUCCCGUCGAUAUGCUUGUAAAUGCAAUGUUAUCAGCAAUGGUGAAACAUGGAGCAGUUCAAAGACCAGGAUUGAAAGUAUACCACAUUGCUUCUUCAGUCGUAAAUCCACUACUGUUCCAAGAUUUGAUUAAUUGUAUGUUUGAAUACUUUGAUUCUUGUCCGUACACGGAUGUGAACGGAAGGCCAAUCAACAUUAAGAGAAUGAAGGUCUUCAAAUCCAUGGAUAAUUUUUACUCCCACAUUCAAACAGAAGCUGUUCAAAGGAGCGCUAAUUCUUCCCAAGGGAAGAUUUUGUCAAGGAGACUUCAAAGAUCAUUGGACAUGGUGAAACAUUUGGCCGAGCUAUAUGAACCGUACACAUUCUAUGGAGGAAGGUAAGAUACUGUUAAUCUUUUGAAGGCUUAAUAUGUUUUCCUUUUAUGUUUUAUAUUUUUACUUGAUAAAAUGUUAUUAAUAGUAGAUUAUAAUCUUAUAUAUAUAGUGUGAUAGAGAAUGUCACACCACAUCCCAAAUUGCCUGGAUAUACACUAUUGGCCAAUGUGCAGCAAAUAUUGCAUCCUCCCACCUCCCCAUCUAACCAUCUAACCAAUAGUUUCUCAUUGAUGGUAUGAAAUAAAUCCAAUCUUAAGCUUUGAUGUUAGAUCAGAUCUCCUCCACGAAGACCUUUUUAUCAUUAGAGUUCCUUUGUUCCUUUCUAGUCAAGAUGCACAGAAAAUAGUGUGGAAUAGAAGCUUCCGAAUUGAAUGUCCACCUCUUAAAAGGCUUUUUUACACUUCCAUUCAGCUAGGAGAUUUUCUAUAUCACCUUCCAUGACUUGAUUAUUCUUUACGAAAUCAUAGUCUACCAAGAAGAUGAACCCUCUGCGCUUCAUUGUACCCUUAGAACACCCAAGAUUGAUCAACUUGUAAGGGUUAAAAGCAGUCACAGUGUACAGAGUGAACAUGCGGGGGGUGGUGAUAGGAUUACAAUUUUUUUUUUUCUCGUUGAUUAAGGAUACCACCUUUUAAACUUUUUAUAAACUGAGAUUUGUAUAAUGCUGUAAUUCUUACACAUUUCUGACAUUCCACAAUUUGUACAUACCUGACUUUCUGCUAUGCUCCCAUUUUCUCUUGGGUUUGACGUUGCCGUGUCACUAUUAUGUAGCAGAAUUUUCUUGGUCCCACAUGGCCCUGCAUCCACAUCUGUGGUGCAUAAUAAAGCAUACACUAGCUAAUGGUAUAACUAUAAUCCCUAUAUAAAACAAUUUAUCAAUGUAGAAAAAUGUUAACUAGCCGCUGGAUUUCCACUGACAAGUGAGAUUUUCAUUACUUGUCAGAUUCGAUAACACCAAUACGCAAAAAUUAAUGGAGGAGCUGUCUCAAGAGGAGCAGAGGGACUUUAAUUUCGACAUUGGAGGCAUAGAUUGGAAGGAUUAUAUAUGUAACAUUCAUAUUCCUGGUCUACUGAGACAUAGACAAAAAGUAAGAGACCCUUAGUUCUUAUUUGUAUGGUAUAUGGUGCAGGUAUAUAAAUAUGUAUUGGUAUUAAGUUGUGAAAUUUGAAGAAUAAAACCAGAACAUAGUUGGUUCAAAUUUGUAUUUAAUGAGAUAGCAAUCGAGCACUUAUAGAAGUUGUACAAGUAUGGAAGCGUUUUGUGGACAGUUUUCUCCCAAGGGAUCAAUCAAUACUUGGGCCGCGGCCUAACUUCCUUCUCCUCCACAGGUUAGUUUGUAGUGAAGAAUGAACCCCAUUGGAUGUGUUUGAGGGCAGGUCUGAAGUCUGGACCAUUAACGUUGGAAUAGAUGUGAACGGUCCCCAUCCCAGACCUGCCUGCUACCGCCCAAUCUCUUCUUUUCCCGCUGUAGAUAUAUGUUACAUGUGAUCAGACGUCGUCGUUAUUUUCUAAUCCGUUGCAUACCCGAACGUCAUAAAUUUUUAAGAAUCAGAAGCGUUAGGUUGCACUAACGUAUUACACACGGCUAGAGAGUUUUGAACCCAAAGGCUCUUGUUUUAAAUGUUAGCUUUUAUUGUAAGUUGUUCAGGAUUGUGAUGUGUCACAAAAAUUGUGAGACAAAGUGUGAAUCCCAUUUACACUAAUCUAAAAUAUAGGUCAAGCCAACAUCAUUAUGCUAAAAAAUUUGGCCUAAAUUGUUAGCUUUCACGUAGAGAAAAUCUAUACACGUGAAAAAUACCAAUACACAUGAAAAUAUGCAUGCAAAUUAAGCCAAUUCACAUUAAUUUGGUGGAGUUUGGAUAAAGUUUUAACCUAUCACAUGAUUGAUAUAAAGUUUUUUUUUUUGAAAAAGAUAAGCUGGGGUUAAGGCAGACCCCCACCUGAUCCAUAACAUCAUAAGAAAGCUUUUACAACUAUCCUAAGAGUAUACUCGUUAGAAGGAGGUCCAACUUAGUACAAAUAAACAACAAGGUUGAGGAGCCUUACAUACAUGAUAAAAGAGAACACACCAAAAGGUUCAUAAGAAAAACCUUCUCAUGGUAAACACAAUGAUCAAUCCUUGAAGAGUUUCACCAAUUCAGGAUGAUCCUUCCUGAUAGCUACUUUCAAUUAUCGUAUACUUAAAUGAUUCAAGAGUCCUACCCAAUAUUGUUUCUUGCAUGUAAAAAUUAGCCACAUCCGGCCAACUUGCUAACAAACUGUUCAACUAUUUAAAUACUGAAGUGAUAGAUCUCUAUAUCUCUCUCUUUAUAUAUAUAUGUUGAAAAUAUCAAAAUAUACAUACAAAUAAGUUCACCAUUUCUCUUUUGAAGCUAUUACACGUUAACUUGUCUAAGUUGGGAUGAAAUCUUUGUCUAUGCAUGGAAUCUCAACUGCACAGAACCAUAGGAUGCAUAGAAAGACGUUAGGGUUCGCAUAAGGUAACUAUUCACUCUUUACUUGAUCUAAUUUCUAAGUUGGCCUCCAGGACUGACUUGGGCGUUGGAGCUUUCCCCACCGGAUUAUAGCCGGUAGUCUUUGCAGGUAUCAGAAGGAGAUAGAAGAGAAGGAGUUCAGCAACCCAGAUCUGUGACCAAACUCAAGAUUGAGCAUACAAUAUCCAUACAAAGAAGUUCACCUUUGCUCUUUAAAGCUAUUACAAGUUAACUUGUCUAAGUUGGGAUGAAUUGUUUGAAUGUGCAUGGAAUCUCUACUGCUUCAACAUUACUCCAUAGAAAUGACUUGUGGGAGGAGAAGAAAAGAAAAGUGAUCAGGUUGUGUUACAACGGAAAAAGUAGGAACUUAACAAGUUCUGGUGAUUUGACAUCUACAGAACUUGGUUCAAUAAAGUCAGAUAAAAUCCACCUUCCUUCUUUGAAUAAUUUGAGUAUCAAGGAACUAGCACCACUUCAGCAAACAAAAGAAACAAGAUCGAGAGAAGUGGUUAACUCGAAUGGAAUUGGAAUUGUUCCUUUUCUUACAGGAAGGGUCUUUCUGAUAACUGGUGCUACUGGUUUUUUAGCAAAAGGUACGGUUACUAUUAUAGAGUUAUUGGUAUGUUUCUCAUUAAAUAGAUUGUUAAAGUACCUUUGUUACUUGUUUACUUGCAGUUCUAAUUGAGAAGAUUUUAAGGACUAUGCCUGACGUGGAUAAGAUUUAUCUCUUGAUAAAAGCAAACGACAAAGAUGUAGCUAUGGAAAGAAUGAUGAAAGAAGUCAGCUUUCUUGAAAUGUCUAAAUUAUUUGUUGAUUUUUUUUGUUGGUUAUACUCGUUAUCAUCUGACUUUACUGUGAUGGUUGAGUCGAUCUAGAUUGUAGAUACAGAGCUUUUAGUGCAUAUGAGACAGUUCUAUGGCAAAUCAUACAAGGAAUUCAUGUUGAACAAGCUGGUACCUAUAGUAGGAAAUGUUGGUGAAUCUGGACUUGGAAUGGAAGUGGGAUUUGCUGAUCACAUCGCAAAUGAAGUAGAUAUCAUAGUCCAUUCAGCUGGAAAUACAACUUUUGACGAAAGGUUUGAUACUUUGUCUUUAGUGCAUGCAACUGAUACUAUUUGGCUUUAGUAGAGUGGCAUGGAGAUCUUAUAUAUAUAGAGGUGUUAAACCAGUACGCUUGGCUUUCUUGACAUUUUAAUCACGAAGCCAUCAAGGCUUGAGGGCAUGGCCAACCCAAGCCUCAGUAUUCUGGGGCGGGUUGCGCCUAGCUUCUACUUGAAAUCUAAAAUGUGUCCCCUUAACCUCUCUUGGGGGAUUUAAUAGGGCUCAGGAAUGUGUUUGAGCCUCGAAAAUCUAAUUCCUACCCCUGCCUCCGAAAGGUCUAAUGGCAAGGCCAGCUCAACCUCAUAUGUGAGAGCUGAGCCUAGAUUUAUCUCUUGGGCCAGUUUGACAGGCCGAGACUAUAUACAUUUUUGUGACAAAUGCUUUGGUUUUAUUUUGAUCAUCCAGGACAAUCACAUUUAAACUAAUCGGAUGAACCUAUUAAAAGUCUUGAUAAAAAAAUGCUAAUUUUCGGUGCCAUUCAAGUGAUAAUAACAUUUGGCAUACUACCAAAAUUCUCAGGUAUGAUGUAGCAAUUGAUAUAAACACGUUGGGACCUUGUCGAAUGUUGAGCUUUGCAAAGAGAUGCAAGGGGCUUAAGUUGUUCAUGCAUGUAUCAACAGGUUUGAAGUAACUUCAAAGAUCUACAACAACAAUCUCUGUUAGGUUUUAUUAAUCUGCUUAUUUAAUGUUUUAUUAAUAUGUGAUAAGUAUGGUUGUAAUUGGUUCUUUUUUAUCAAUGAAAUUUACAUGUUUAGCAAAAAAAAAAAGUAUUUGCUGCAAAAUAUAUGCUUAAUGCCAUUGACUGGAACUUAUUCUCACAGCAUACACCAAUGGGCAGAGAAAAGGAGUUAUCUCAGAGAAGCCGUUCCGCAAUGGAGACAGUAUAACUAGAGAGUUAGCUGCUUUUGAAUAUAGUAUGAGUUCCUUCCCUAUAUUGGACGUUGAAGCUGAAAUAAAGGUGGCUUUGGAUGCAAGGAAUGCUUUUGAAGACAAUAUAGUGACUCAAAAGAUGCAAGAUUUGGGAAUGGAGAGGUACUAUGGAUACCCAAACUACCAAUGCCCUUUGCAAUACAUUCUUUCUUUUAUGAGAAGUUGAAUCUGUUAUCGAUGGCUUCAUAUGUGAAUGGCCAAUAAAACGUAGACAACUAGUUGAAUUUAACUGGAAAUGACAAUCUGUAUAUUCUGUAUGACAGGGCAAGAAUGUAUGGAUGGCAAGACACAUAUGUGUUCACAAAGGCAAUGGGGGAGAUGAUGAUAGAAAGUCAGAGAGAAGAAAUACCAGUUGUUAUAAUUCGUCCUAGCAUUAUUGAAAGUACCUAUAAGGAACCCAUCCCUGGAUGGAUCGAAGGGCUCAGGUUUCGUAUUUAAUUUCUUAAAUAUGUUCUGACCAUUUGUUUUUUCUUUGUUACAUAUUAUUUGGCUAAUUUUGUUAUGUUAAUACACAAUACCUAGGAUGAUAGACCCACUACUUAUAUACUAUGGAAAAGGAGAACUGACUGCAUUCCCUGCAGAUGCAAAGGGUGUCAUCGACGCGGUUAGUAGCCUGCAAUCAUAAAUAGAGUCUAUUUGCAGUUUUAUUUCAUAUACGUUGAAUAAACCUAAAUUUCUUAGGUAGAUGUUAUCUUUUAAGAUAAAUACCAUGUCUCUCUUUACUAAUCAGUAUUUUUAUAAAUCAUGAAUUAAUGUAGG